GGCCUUUUUUUAGCACCAGUCAAAGUGAACAGGGAGGGUUGAGGUAGUCGGUGGGAAGGGGGGAGAAAAUGAGGAGAGUGAACGGCGGGGGUGGGCUGAGGGUGUAGAGAUGAGGGAGGAAGGGAACAAGGGAGAGAGGGAGGGUUGAGUGUUGGAAUGAACUCUCUCAGGCUUUGUGGUGCGCGUUUCCCAAGGCCCCUGCCUGGCCCCUUUGAUAAAUGACACAUGUCAUUCUGUCAGCUUGUGACACUGCAGCUGGGAGGCCCUGUGAUGUAUGGCUCUGCUGAAAAAGGAAAUCAACUUUUUUCCCCCUCUCGCUCUCUCCUUAUCCCAAUGUCUGUCUGCCUCUCUCGUCCCUUCUCCCUCUGCUCUCUCCCUCCUCCCCUCAGCCUGGGCUGAGUGCAUGGCCUUUUUAUAUGAGGAUUUAGGUUUCCCCUGGUCUAGUGAGCUCCCACCUCCUCUUUCUUCCUACUGCAAUAGAGAGGCAUACGCAAAGCCAGGUUGAGGCCUCGCCAGCACCAUGAUAGUGAAAAAUUAACAACAGGCAGCCAAAUGGGUGAAGGCGCCAAGGAGAUGGAAUCAAUGCACGGCAUCUGCGGCAAGAGCAGCUAUGUAAAACACUUGCCUUAAGUCAGCCGCAUCCGGUUAAUAUUUAAUCCCUCCAUCUAUCUCCACAAAGAGCAUUUCCCUUUUAGCUUUAGCUGCCGUUUACUUUGAUUACACACAAGCGUUUAGGGUGAGCGGGGGCAAAGCAAGAAUGAUAAGAGAGCAUGCAUGCUAAGUGAUUUGCAUGGGGAUGGGAAUAUUUUCAGGUCUGAUAAUCACUCCGAAACAGGCCAUUGCCAGUUUCAGGCGAAAGAGAAGAUAUAGGCCGGAAGAAAUAAAAAUAAAUACAUAAUUU
This is a long non-coding RNA of Syngnathus acus (greater pipefish), 901 nucleotides long. RefSeq lists it as uncharacterized. The record is from RefSeq and is a predicted model, not a curated record. The transcript has 2 exons. Lineage: Eukaryota; Metazoa; Chordata; Actinopteri; Syngnathiformes; Syngnathidae.